Molecule: ribosomal RNA, 497 nt
Filed under: uncultured bacterium
Lineage: Bacteria
Description: partial 16S ribosomal RNA
Rfam family: Bacterial small subunit ribosomal RNA
Source: RNAcentral
GAUGAACGCUGGCGGCGUGCCUAAUACAUGCAAGUCGAGCGAACAGACGAGGAGCUUGCUCCUUUGACGUUAGCGGCGGACGGGUGAGUAACACGUAGGUAACCUACCUAUAAGACUGGGAUAACUUCGGGAAACCGGAGCUAAUACCGGAUAAUAUUUCGAACCGCAUGGUUCGAUAGUGAAAGAAGGCUUUGCUAUCACUUAUAGAUGGACCUGCGCCGUAUUAGCUAGUUGGUAAGGUAACGGCUUACCAAGGCAACGAUACGUAGCCGACCUGAGAGGGUGAUCGGCCACACUGGAACUGAGACACGGUCCAGACUCCUACGGGAGGCAGCAGUAGGGAAUCUUCCGCAAUGGGCGAAAGCCUGACGGAGCAACGCCGCGUGAGUGAUGAAGGUCUUCGGAUCGUAAAACUCUGUUAUUAGGGAAGAACAAACGUGUAAGUAACUGUGCACGUCUUGACGGUACCUAAUCAGAAAGCCACGGCUAACUACGUG